RNAcentral lists this unclassified non-coding RNA (266 nucleotides) under Glomus sp. RNAcentral describes it as "partial contains 5.8S ribosomal RNA and internal transcribed spacer 2". The stretch from base 1 to 65 matches the Rfam family "5.8S ribosomal RNA", at positions 84 to 154 of the family's 154-position model. The record is from RNAcentral. Lineage: Eukaryota; Fungi; Glomeromycota; Glomeromycetes; Glomerales; Glomeraceae.
GUGAAUCAUCAAAUCUUUGAACGCAAAUUGCACUCUCUUCGGAGAGUAUGCCUGUUUGAGGGUCAGCCUAAAAAAAAUCGACGUAGUCGCUGUUUCGCGGUGACAUUCGUCGGAAAUUGGGUCAUAUUAAACCUUUUGGUUUUAAGCGGCUUAAAAUUUUCUUUACGCUUCGACGAAUGUUUUUAAGAUUUUACUUCUUACACACGUUUAAGGUAUCGAUCUUUAUCAGACGUGGCCGUUGCAUCGGAUCGCGACCAGAAAUAUUU